Molecule: long non-coding RNA, 702 nt
Filed under: Capsella rubella
Lineage: Eukaryota; Viridiplantae; Streptophyta; Magnoliopsida; Brassicales; Brassicaceae
Description: long non-coding RNA (CRUB_LNC001961)
Source: RNAcentral
UCCACUUCCCACGGACUGGCCAUAAAGGAUGAUGUCUUCCUGUUUAGCUCCAUAGGUUUCUUCAAGACAUUUAUAGACAGCUUCAAUAUCAGCAUAUGUAUGGUGCUCACUCGGCUGCACUCACAAGAAAACAAGGUCCAGUUAUAUUUAUAUUUUACUAAAAUUGUUAAAAGAAUAUAUGUUUCCUUGUUGAUUCUAAAGAGCAAACCUUUCCAGUAGAUUGUCCAUAGCCGGAGUAAUCGUACCUGCAAAUACCAAAGCAGAGAGGAAGCACCCUUAAUAGAGCUGAAUCAAGCUAUGAAGCAUCAAGGGUUUUGCAAUGUUCAUAAGCCUUUAAAUGUCUCAUAACCCCGAAAGAACAAUCAAACAGUGAAUCAGAAGAAACCAAAAAGGAUUAUGAAUUCUCCAAAUUGAAACAUUAAGCCAGGUAAAGAAAAUAUCCAAAACCUUCUAUUAAAGACACCAUUAAUACCAAAACCCACAACAUGGGACCAGAUAGAAAAUUCCUAAUAGCCAUUAAAAAAAAAGUCUAUGAAUUUGAUCAUAUCCAGAUACAGACAUCACAAAAACAGAACAAGAUUUCAGACAAGAGGAGCUUCACCAUCAUCAGAGCUAUAUGGAGAUUAGAAAGAGAAAAAAAAAAGAAAAAAAGCAAAAAAGAGUGAAAACUGAACAUACCCCAUGAGAUUAACCUUAAGAUGG